RNAcentral lists this ribosomal RNA (373 nucleotides) under uncultured bacterium. Its description in RNAcentral is "bacterial SSU rRNA". It matches the Rfam family "Bacterial small subunit ribosomal RNA", at positions 29 to 404 of the family's 1533-position model. The record is from RNAcentral.
AUUGAACGCUGGCGGAAUGCUUUACACAUGCAAGUCGAACGGCAGCACGGGGGCAACCCUGGUGGCGAGUGGCGAACGGGUGAGUAAUACAUCGGAACGUGCCCAGUCGUGGGGAUAACGUAGCGAAAGCUACGCUAAUACCGCAUACGAACUCUGGUUGAAAGCGGGGGACUCGCAAGAGCCUCGCGCGAUUGGAGCGGCCGAUGGCAGAUUAGGUAGUUGGUGGGGAAAGGCUCACCAAGCCGACGAUCUGUAGCUGGUCUGAGAGGACGACCAGCCACACUGGGACUGAGACACGGCCCAGACUCCUACGGGAGGCAGCAGUGGGGAAUUUGGACAAUGGGCGCAAGCCUGAUCCAGCCAUUCCGCGUGC